GCGGUCGUGGCGGAAUUGGUAUACGCGCUGGUUUUAGGUACCAGUCUCUUCGGGGAUGAGAGUUCGAGUCUCUCCGACCGCACCA
This 85-nucleotide transfer RNA is filed under the name Rhodospirillales bacterium. RNAcentral's name for it is "tRNA-Leu". It matches the Rfam family "tRNA". From Rfam's summary of the family: Transfer RNA (tRNA) molecules are approximately 80 nucleotides in length. Their secondary structure includes four short double-helical elements and three loops (D, anti-codon, and T loops). Further hydrogen bonds mediate the characteristic L-shaped molecular structure. tRNAs have two regions of fundamental functional importance: the anti-codon, which is responsible for specific mRNA codon recognition, and the 3' end, to which the tRNAs corresponding amino acid is attached (by aminoacyl-tRNA synthetases). tRNAs cope with the degeneracy of the genetic code in two manners: having more than one tRNA (with a specific anti-codon) for a particular amino acid; and 'wobble' base-pairing, i.e. permitting non-standard base-pairing at the 3rd anti-codon position. Lineage: Bacteria; Pseudomonadati; Pseudomonadota; Alphaproteobacteria; Rhodospirillales. The record is from RNAcentral.